Non-coding RNA from Acanthosepion pharaonis, 112 nucleotides. The record is from the annotation of a GenBank genome assembly. NCBI's taxonomy places the organism in Eukaryota, Metazoa, Mollusca, Cephalopoda, Sepiida, Sepiidae.
CUGGCCAUAUCACGUUGAAAAACCGCUUCCCGUACGAUCACCGAAGUUAAGCAACAUUGAGCGUUGUCAGUACCUAGAUGGGUGAUCGCUUGGGAAUACCAGGUGUUGCAAU